Molecule: long non-coding RNA, 157 nt
Organism: Scatophagus argus
Lineage: Eukaryota; Metazoa; Chordata; Actinopteri; Scatophagidae
Exons: 2
Source: RefSeq, a predicted model, not a curated record
GCUAGUUAGCUCAGUUAGCAGUGUAGCUCGCUGACUCUGCCCAGACCUGACUGGGACAUGGGAAAUGUUGGUGUGUAAGCAGCCUGACAUCUGGCAUUAUGACAGAAGCAAAGGUGCUUCUGUUGUUUGACGGCAGAAGCUAAGAAAGGAAAAAGAC